RNAcentral lists this ribosomal RNA (892 nucleotides) under Cordyceps tenuipes. Its description in RNAcentral is "LSU rRNA". It matches the Rfam family "Eukaryotic large subunit ribosomal RNA", at positions 38 to 962 of the family's 3401-position model. Lineage: Eukaryota; Fungi; Ascomycota; Sordariomycetes; Hypocreales; Cordycipitaceae. The record is from RNAcentral.
GCAUAUCAAUAAGCGGAGGAAAAGAAACCAACAGGGAUUGCCCCAGUAACGGCGAGUGAAGCGGCAACAGCUCAAAUUUGAAAUCUGGCCCCCGGGUCCGAGUUGUAAUUUGCAGAGGAUGCUUCGGGCGAGGUGCCUUCCGAGUUCCCUGGAACGGGACGCCACAGAGGGUGAGAGCCCCGUCUGGUCGGACACCGAGCCCGUGUGAAGCUCCUUCGAAGAGUCGAGUAGUUUGGGAAUGCUGCUCAAAAUGGGAGGUAUAUGUCUUCUAAAGCUAAAUAUUGGCCAGAGACCGAUAGCGCACAAGUAGAGUGAUCGAAAGAUGAAAAGCACUUUGAAAAGAGGGUUAAAAAGUACGUGAAAUUGUUGAAAGGGAAGCGCCCAUGACCAGACUUGGGCCCGGUGAAUCACCCGGCGUUCUCGCCGGUGCACUUUGCCGGGCACAGGCCAGCAUCAGUUUGGCGCGGGGGACAAAGGCUUCGGGAACGUGGCUCCCUCGGGAGUGUUAUAGCCCGCUGCGUAAUACCCUGCGCCGGACUGAGGUACGCGCAUCGCAAGGAUGCUGGCGUAAUGGUCAUCAGCGACCCGUCUUGAAACACGGACCAAGGAGUCGUCUUCGUAUGCGAGUGUUCGGGUGUCAAACCCCUACGCGGAAUGAAAGUGAACGCAGGUGAGAGCUUCGGCGCAUCAUCGACCGAUCCUGAUGUUCUCGGAUGGAUUUGAGUAAGAGCAUACGGGGCCGGACCCGAAAGAAGGUGAACUAUGCCUGUAUAGGGUGAAGCCAGAGGAAACUCUGGUGGAAGCUCGCAGCGGUUCUGACGUGCGAAUCGAUCGUCAAAUAUGGGCAUGGGGGCGAAAGACUAAUCGAACCUUCUAGUAGCUGGUUUCCGCG